CAGUAGCCGCGGGAAUACGAGGGGGGCUAGCGUUGCUCGGAAUGACUGGGCGUAAAGGGCGCGUAGGCGGUUUAUACAGUCAGAUGUGAAAUUCCUGGGCUCAACCUGGGGACUGCAUUUGAUACGUAUGGACUUGAGUGGAGAAGAGGGUUGUGGAAUUCCGAGUGUAGAGGUGAAAUUCGUAGAUAUUCGGAAGAACACCAGUGGCGAAGGCGGCUUACUGGCUCAUUCUAGACGCUGAGGUGCGAAAGCGUGGGGAGCAAACAGGAUUAGAUACCCGUGUAGUCCCUGUCUCUUAUAC
Molecule: ribosomal RNA, 301 nt
Filed under: uncultured bacterium
Lineage: Bacteria
Description: partial 16S ribosomal RNA
Rfam family: Bacterial small subunit ribosomal RNA
Source: RNAcentral